This 419-nucleotide ribosomal RNA is filed under the name uncultured bacterium. RNAcentral's name for it is "bacterial SSU rRNA". It matches the Rfam family "Bacterial small subunit ribosomal RNA", at positions 90 to 507 of the family's 1533-position model. The record is from RNAcentral.
GUCGACCGGCGCACGGGUGAGUAACGCGUAUCCAACCUGCCCAUCACUUGGGGAUAACCUUGCGAAAGUAAGACUAAUACCCAAUGACGUCUCUAGAAGACAUCUGAAAGAGAUUAAAGAUUUAUCGGUGAUGGAUGGGGAUGCGUCUGAUUAGCUGGUUGGCGGGGUAACGGCCCACCAAGGCAACGAUGGAUAGGGGUUCUGAGAGGAAGGUCCCCCACACUGGUACUGAGACACGGACCAGACUCCUACGGGAGGCAGCAGUGAGGAAUAUUGGUCAAUGGGCGAGAGCCUGAACCAGCCAAGUCGCGUGGAGGAAGACUGCCCUACGGGUUGUAAACUCCUUUUACCUGGGAAUAACGGGCGCUACGCGUAGCGCUGUGCAUGUACCGGGAGAAUAAGCAUCGGCUAAUUCCGUG